GACGAACGCUGGCGGCGUGCUUAACACAUGCAAGUCGAACGGAAAGGCCCUGCUUUUGUGGGGUGCUCGAGUGGCGAACGGGUGAGUAACACGUGAGUAACCUGCCCUUGACUUUGGGAUAACUUCAGGAAACUGGGGCUAAUACCGGAUAGGAGCUCCUGCUGCAUGGUGGGGGUUGGAAAGUUUCGGCGGUUGGGGAUGGACUCGCGGCUUAUCAGCUUGUUGGUGGGGUAGUGGCUUACCAAGGCUUUGACAGGUAGCCGGCCUGAGAGGGUGACCGGCCACAUUGGGACUGAGAUACGGCCCAGACUCUUACGGGAGGCAGCAGUGGGGAAUAUUGCACAAUGGGCGGAAGCCUGAUGCAGCAACGCCGCGUGCGGGAUGACGGCCUUCGGGUUGUAAACCGCUUUCGCCUGUGACGAAGCGUGAGUGACAGUAAUGGGUAAAGAAGCACCGGCUAACUACGUG
Molecule: ribosomal RNA, 468 nt
Filed under: uncultured bacterium
Lineage: Bacteria
Description: partial 16S ribosomal RNA
Rfam family: Bacterial small subunit ribosomal RNA
Source: RNAcentral